This 465-nucleotide ribosomal RNA is filed under the name uncultured bacterium. RNAcentral's name for it is "partial 16S ribosomal RNA". It matches the Rfam family "Bacterial small subunit ribosomal RNA", at positions 338 to 795 of the family's 1533-position model. The record is from RNAcentral.
CCUACGGGUGGCAGCAGUGGGGAAUAUUGCGCAAUGGGCGAAAGCCUGACGCAGCGACGUCGCGUGAGGGAUGACGGCCUUCGGAUCGUAAACCUCUGUCAGCAGGGAAGAACGGUCACUGUGCUAAUCAGCCGUGAAUUGACGGUACCUGCAAAGGAAGCACCGGCUAACUCCGUGCCAGCAGCAGCGGUAAUACGGAGGGUGCGAGCGUUAAUCGGAAUUACUGGGCGUAAAGCGCUCGUAGGCGGUAUGUCAAGUCUAGGGUGAAAUCCCCGCGCUAAACGUGGGAACUGCCGUUGAAACUGGCAAACUGGAGUGUGUGAGAGGAUAGUGGAAUUCGAGGUGUAGGAGUGAAAGCCGUAGAUAUCUGGAAGAACAUCAGUGGCGAAGGCGACUAUCUGGCACAUAACUGACGCUGAGGAGCGAAAGCGUGGGUAGCAAACAGGAUUAGAUACCCGGGUAGUC